RNAcentral lists this ribosomal RNA (1011 nucleotides) under Enterococcus faecium. RNAcentral describes it as "bacterial SSU rRNA". The record is from RNAcentral. Lineage: Bacteria; Bacillati; Bacillota; Bacilli; Lactobacillales; Enterococcaceae.
GGGGGGAGCUUGCUCSACCGGAAAAAGAGKRGUGGSGAACGGGUGAGKAACACGUGGGUAACCUGCCCAUCAGAAGGGGAUAACACUUGGAAACAGGUGCUAAUACCGUAUAACAAUCGAAACCGCAUGGUUUUGAUUUGAAAGGCGCUUUCGGGUGUCGCUGAUGGAUGGACCCGCGGUGCAUUAGCUAGUUGGUGAGGUAACGGCUCACCAAGGCSACGAUGCAUAGCCGACCUGAGAGGGUGAUCGGCCACAUUGGGACUGAGACACGGCCCAAACUCCUACGGGAGGCAGCAGUAGGGAAUCUUCGGCAAUGGACGAAAGUCUGACCGAGCAACGCCGCGUGAGUGAAGAAGGUUUUCGGAUCGUAAAACUCUGUUGUUAGAGAAGAACAAGGAUGAGAGUAACUGUUCAUCCCUUGACGGUAUCUAACCAGAAAGCCACGGCUAACUACGUGCCAGCAGCCGCGGUAAUACGUAGGUGGCAAGCGUUGUCCGGAUUUAUUGGGCGUAAAGCGAGCGCAGGCGGUUUCUUAAGUCUGAUGUGAAAGCCCCCGGCUCAACCGGGGAGGGUCAUUGGAAACUGGGAGACUUGAGUGCAGAAGAGGAGAGUGGAAUUCCAUGUGUAGCGGUGAAAUGCGUAGAUAUAUGGAGGAACACCAGUGGCGAAGGCGGCUCUCUGGUCUGUAACUGACGCUGAGGCUCGAAAGCGUGGGGAGCAAACAGGAUUAGAUACCCUGGUAGUCCACGCCGUAACGAUGAGUGCUAAGUGUUGGAGGGUUUCCGCCCUUCAGUGCUGCAGCUAACGCAUUAAGCACUCGCCUGGGGAGUACKACCGCAGGUUGAACUCAAAGGAAUUGACGGKKGCCCGCACAGCGUGGAGCAUGUGGUUAAUUCGAGCACSCGAGACUACAGUCUGACAUCUUGACCMCUCUAGRAWAGACUUCCUCCGGGCAGUGACAGUGKCAUGUUGCGYAGCUCAGUCUGGAGCUUGGUAGUCGCACGAGCSUAC